GUCAGUAGUUCUCUGGUAAAUGGUAGAAUGGGUGAAUGAUCUGCAUAGUCAUAAAGAAUAGUUAGUACCAGACUUAGUAGCAAUACAUAUUUGUGCCUCCUGUCAAUCCCUUAACCAUGUUAUGACCUCAUGGUGAACCCACUAGGUUGUACAGGAGAAAAUGACACUGGCGUUGUUUUCUGUCCUCUGUGAUGGGCAUAAUAAAAGUGUUUCUGAUAUGUUCUGUACUGAAACAUAAUUCUAAGUUUGUUUUCUUUUUCUUUGACAUUAGUCAUUACGGCAGAGUUGUGGACUUGGAAAGCAUCCGGAAAGUAUAAUAAUUUAGUUGAACCCUUUGUUUUCCGCCAUGUAGAAACUGAAGUACCGGUAGAUUCAACGUUCACCUAAGAAGAUGCACUCCUACUUUCUUUAUGGAGUACUUGUGCAAUUGUUGAAAGUUAAAUAAAAAUGAACAAAUCCACCUACUUAAUCCACCCAAUCCCAACCCAAGAGAAAAAACAAGCAGCCGGUGUGGAUAUUUUGCUCUUACAGCGCCUUCAGCAAUCUGACCGAGGGUCUCGCAUCGUGUCAAUAUUGUGUUCUGCUGGUGUAAUAAUCGCUAUGGAGUUCUCUGGAGACCACACCUGGCUGGCUGUGUUGAGUUCUGAGCCUCUCAAUUGCAUGCAAGAGGCUGGAAAGAUUUGAGAGAAGAUUGCUAAAAGUACUUCAGGGGCCCUGGAGGCACUGAUUUAGGAGGCGGAGGAAAGACAUACAUGCGAAUAUGUCAACCCUGCACUAACUAAAUAGAGAAUGUAGAGAAAACAGACUUCCGGUUUAUGAAGAACCGAAAUACCAGAAACAUCCCAAAGGGUAAGUGAGACCCCCUUAGGAGGCAUGGAGUAGGGGGUGGGGUGGAAAGUGUAUGGUGCAUGGAUUUCUGGGCAGUAUAAUUCUGCCUAAAAAUGAUGAAGAAAGUGGAAUCUGAUUAACCUGGCCUAAGAAUUAAGAAGGGUGUUCACCCCAGGUCUGCCAAACCUUGAGCAAAUAUUUAACAAAGGGAAAGGGGAAGAAUAAGAGGAGAGUUUUGGCUGAUGGCGUGAUGUGCUAAGGUUUAAGAUAUCUUUUUCAUGUGUGUUGAGACUACUGUUAUGCAAAGCAGUCUGGAAAACUGACCGGAAAAAUCAUGUAAAAGAGAGGAGUUUGAUGGGGCAGUGUGGAAAGAGAAUGGAAUUUCGAGUCUAAGAUUUCCAGUUUUUGAGCACUGACUCUGCUGACUUACGGCUCAUUAAUCCCCUUGUAUGAGUUUUAGUUUCCCUCCCUAGAAAAAAUGGGGAAAUGGCCCCUCUGAGUAGUUGUGAAAAUCAAAUGGGAUAGUGCACAUUAAUGCCCAGGACUUGUGGCCUCUAAGGAGCUCUAUUUCAGGAGAUUCAGUUCAUAGGACUUGUGAGUAUUUAAAUGCAGGCGCUGAGGGAAACGGAGACACAGCAUUCAGCAAUCCUAACCUAUCUUAAGCCAUUUCUGCUGCUCUUUCUUCCAUUUAGGCUAAGUGCUCACCGAUCUAAUUUGCUGCAGAUACUUACUGAC
Molecule: long non-coding RNA, 1563 nt
Filed under: Homo sapiens (human)
Lineage: Eukaryota; Metazoa; Chordata; Mammalia; Primates; Hominidae
Description: HSALNT0350939
Source: RNAcentral